Molecule: long non-coding RNA, 1977 nt
Filed under: Bemisia tabaci
Lineage: Eukaryota; Metazoa; Arthropoda; Insecta; Hemiptera; Aleyrodidae
Description: lncRNA ENSSWEETPG009071
Source: RNAcentral
UGAAUAAAUUGGUACUUACUUCUUACAGAUAUAAGUCUGUGUGUGGAGGAUGCCUCCAGUGAAACAGGUGAACUCGCUAUAUUCCUGCUGCCUGAAGUCUGUAAUUCAACAGUUAAAUCUGAUCUACGAGAAAAAAAGCAACAGGAAGCAGUUUCAUAAGAAGUUUUCAAACUGACCGAUCCAUACUCCUAAAUGAUUUACAUGGCGGAAUCGUCAAGAUUACUCAAGCUUGCUGUAGACUUAUACAGAAAUGAUAUUUGGAGAAUACUAAGUUUUAUCAAACUUUUGGGAGACAUGUCUAUUCGUAAACUCGCACCAUGCCACAAGGAUGAUCAACUAUUGCUUUGUCAAUGGACCAAGUUGGUUUCUUGCCUGAAAUCUUCAGACAUUACGGCCUUGAAGAAUUAGUUUUAAAGGUUUGUCUUCAGAAUUUUAAGGUUUUCUUCUACAAUUGGACGUAUUUAUGCUAUAAGGAACUAUGUUGCACGUCAACCCUAUGCACAUAGUUCGUUUUAGCAUAAAUACAUCCAAUUUUAACUGUGAUUGGUGGUUACAUUUUAACAGUGUGAUGGCUGCUAGAAUGGAAAUUGAUAAAACAUAACAGUUGAAUGGGCCUGUUGCAAACUUUGACAAGAGCGAAAAUAAAGAGUUAUUACUUAUAGAAAAUGUCUCAAAAGUCUUCAAAGGUGAUGAGCUCAUCGGCAAAAUCUAAAAUGCACCCCUUACUUCACAAUUUGCAUAAGAAAUUUGCGUUUUUUCGAGCUUCUCCCCUCAAGAACACUACCACGGUACAAGUGAACAUUUCGCUAGAGGAGUCAUUCCAUCGAACCACUGCUCACAAGGAUACUACGCAAUAUUCUACAUAGCCGUCGCCAAUCCGCCAAAACACACGUGACGGGACGAUGAUUCUAACCAUCUGAUAACUAUCAGCGUGUUUACAUUCACAUUUUUCUCGUGUUGAUAGAUAUCCACCUUAAUUGACCUUGUGCUCUCCUCAACUUGCGCGCAGAAGCGUCGGCCAUGUUGAGCAGGGAUUGAAUGGAACAACUUCUCUAAAGAAAUGUUCACCUGCGCUGUAGUAUCCUUUUGAAGCGGAAAAUCUUAAAAAAAACGCAAAUUUCAUACGCAGAUUGUGAAGUUAGGAGUGCAUUUCAGAGUUUGCCGAUGCCCUCAUCGUGAUUUUUAAGACGUUAUCCGUAAGGAUCAUAAUCCACAAUCAGCUUAAGUAAAGCACUUGAAGUGAAGUAGUUAUUUUGACUGAAAUAAACAGUUAUAGUGAAAAAUAGCUUGAAUAUCAUUCUUCCUUUCAUCCUGUUCAAAACUCUUGCUUUCAGAUGCUGAGUAGAACAAAAUCUUCAAUCACUAAUCAAACUACCAGAAACAUAUAACAAUUAGGAAAAAAUCAGGGAAAUUAUGGGACACCCAAUGUAUUUUCAAGCAAGAUUUAUAUGCAAAUUCAUCUGUGGAUGAGCAGGUGACGCAGAAAAUAUUGACUUGAAGAUCUUACAGUGCUCCCUAGUUGUAUGAAUUUGCCAAGCAACAUUUAAUUUUUAAUACUUUUGUUUCAGGUGAAGAAUAAUGGAGAGUUAUUUCAGCGCCCAAAAUUUGAACAUAGCUAUCUGUUACUGUACAAAUCCCUCCAAGCUGGCUUAUCCAAGUCCUUGCAUACGUUGAUAUUGCGUUCAACCUGCAACAAUCAAGUGCUUUCAAUCCUAGGGAAAGAAUCAAUUCAACUGACACAUCUAGACAUCUCUAAUUCAUGGCUUGUUGACGACCUUGGAAUCAGAAACUUACUUUUGAGAGUAAGUGGCUAAGUACUUAUAUGUUGUAAAAGAACAAAUUUCGAAAUCAAAGUUUCAGAUCAAAACCAGUCAGAAAUUCGUUGAUCAGUGAUAUGAUGAGUGAUGCCCUUUUGUUAAUAUUUAUGGUGUCUAUUAUCAGUGAUAACUAGAAAAUAUCAGGAAAUUCAUUGUCAUC